AAUGAUUGAGAACGACAGCAUGACCAUGGUUUCGCUCAGUUCAUUUCUUGUCUUGAUUCUUCUGAGCUCCAGCUUGCUGCUAUCAGCAAGUGGUGGUGGUCGUGGCAGUCAUGGACAUGGCAGUCACGAUUCCUAUGGUCAUGGCGUUCAUGGACAUGGCAGUCACGAUUCCUAUGGUCAUGGCGGUCAUGGACAUGGCAGUCACGAUUCCUAUGGUCAUGGCGGUCAUGGACAUGGCAGUCACGAUUCCUAUGGUCAUGGCGGUCAUGGACAUGGCAGUCACGAUUCCUAUGGUCAUGGCGGUCACGGACAUGGUAGUCACGAUUCCUAUGGUCAUGGCGGUCACGGACAUGGUAGUCACGAUUCCUAUGGUCAUGGCGGUCACGGACAUGGUAGUCACGAUUCCUAUGGGAAUGAUCUUCUGGGUUCAGACUUGUUUGCCAGCUUCUCCACAUUGGAGAUUACUUUCAAUAAAUGCUUUAGUGCAA
Danio rerio (zebrafish) is the source of this 488-nucleotide non-coding RNA. Lineage: Eukaryota; Metazoa; Chordata; Actinopteri; Cypriniformes; Danionidae. The record is from Ensembl.